Molecule: ribosomal RNA, 497 nt
Filed under: uncultured bacterium
Lineage: Bacteria
Description: partial 16S ribosomal RNA
Rfam family: Bacterial small subunit ribosomal RNA
Source: RNAcentral
GAUGAACGCUGGCGGCGUGCCUAAUACAUGCAAGUCGAGCGAACAGACGAGGAGCUUGCUCCUCUGACGUUAGCGGCGGACGGGUGAGUAACACGUGGAUAACCUACCUAUAAGACUGGGAUAACUUCGGGAAACCGGAGCUAAUACCGGAUAAUAUAUUGAACCGCAUGGUUCAAUAGUGAAAGACGGUUUUGCUGUCACUUAUAGAUGGAUCCGCGCCGCAUUAGCUAGUUGGUAAGGUAACGGCUUACCAAGGCAACGAUGCGUAGCCGACCUGAGAGGGGGACCGGCCAAACUGGAACGGAGACACGGUCCAGACUCCUACGGGAGGCAGCAGUAGGGAAUCUUCCGCAAUGGGCGAAAGCCUGACGGAGCAACGCCGCGUGAGUGAUGAAGGUCUUCGGAUCGUAAAACUCUGUUAUUAGGGAAGAACAAAUGUGUAAGUAACUAUGCACGUCUUGACGGUACCUAAUCAGAAAGCCACGGCUAACUACGUG